RNAcentral lists this ribosomal RNA (429 nucleotides) under Bacteroidota bacterium. RNAcentral describes it as "Bacteroidetes bacterium partial 16S ribosomal RNA". It matches the Rfam family "Bacterial small subunit ribosomal RNA", at positions 355 to 776 of the family's 1533-position model. Lineage: Bacteria; Pseudomonadati; Bacteroidota. The record is from RNAcentral.
UAGGGAAUCUUCCGCAAUGGACGCAAGUCUGACGGAGCAACGCCGCGUGAGUGAAGAAGGAUUUCGGUUCGUAAAACUCUGUUGUUAGAGAAGAACAGCGCAUAGAGUAACUGUUAUGCGUGUGACGGUAUCUAACCAGAAAGCCACGGCUAACUACGUGCCAGCAGCCGCGGUAAUACGUAGGUGGCAAGCGUUGUCCGGAUUUAUUGGGCGUAAAGCGAGCGCAGGCGGUCAAUUAAGUCUGAUGUGAAAGCCCCCGGCUCAACCGGGGAGGGUCAUUGGAAACUGGUUGACUUGAGUAGUGGAGAGGAAAGUGGAAUUCCUAGUGUAGUGGUGAAAUACGUAGAUAUUAGGAGGAAUACCAGGAGCGAAGGCGACUUUCUGGACACAAACUGACGCUGAGGUACGAAAGCGUGGGGAGCAAACAGG